This is a small nucleolar RNA of Octodon degus (degu), 210 nucleotides long. RefSeq annotates it as small nucleolar RNA U3. The transcript has a single exon. The record is from RefSeq and is a predicted model, not a curated record. Lineage: Eukaryota; Metazoa; Chordata; Mammalia; Rodentia; Octodontidae.
AAGGCUGUACAUUUGGGGUCCUUUCCAAGUCCAUUACUAGAGAAGUUGUACUGACCAUGUGGUGCACAAGAAGACAUGGGAAGAAGCAUAUUGUUCCUUUCUAGGUGUGAAACUGGCUCGUGGUGCUGCUUUACUGCAACUGCUAUUUGCCAGUAAUGAGCAUUCUUCUCCUCAGAAAGAGUACAAGGCAGGGAACGUAGUCUAAGCAGC